This is a long non-coding RNA of Lepidothrix coronata (blue-crowned manakin), 199 nucleotides long. RefSeq lists it as uncharacterized. The record is from RefSeq and is a predicted model, not a curated record. Lineage: Eukaryota; Metazoa; Chordata; Aves; Passeriformes; Pipridae. The transcript is spliced from 3 exons.
CCAUAGGGAAGGGAAGUGUCCCAGUCCAGGAUCAUACUUGAUGGACAAGCCUGGCCGUGGGAUAAAGGAGAGGAAUCUCUAGCUCCCGUGACAAGGAUGUCAUCCUGAACAUUCUCAGUGUCCUCACUGACUUGCUGUCUCUGGGGACUGGACGGAGGAUCCACUACGUGAUCAGCAAAGGGGGCAGUGAGGCGUUGCU